Molecule: long non-coding RNA, 655 nt
Organism: Sarcophilus harrisii (Tasmanian devil)
Lineage: Eukaryota; Metazoa; Chordata; Mammalia; Dasyuromorphia; Dasyuridae
Exons: 4
Source: RefSeq, a predicted model, not a curated record
UUUGUAAUUCACUUUCAUUACCAAGUCUCCAGUCAUCAGUCACACACAGCUCACAAACUGGCUCUGGGCAGGAAGUCUAGGGGCCCUCCCCUCAAGUUUCGGCUUGUUCGUCAGAAUGACUCUAGAGCCAGAACUGUAAAAACAGAAAGAGCUGAGAUGAUGGAUUUCCAGAGAAGAAAACACUACAAGAGAUGUUUACAGGAGACCACCCAUACUCAGGAUUCUCUAAGAUGAAGGAACCACAUCCUCCCAUUUUGAUCCACAAGAAAGAACCAAACAUUUUCAAAGGCUAAGAAAAAGGGUUUAUUGUAAUUGUCCCUAGUGAGUAACAUUGCUAGAUGUAUCCACCACUCUCAAUAGGCUGAUAGUAAGAAUUCAGGCAGAAUGAUUCCUGGUUAGUAUUGACAAAAAAAAAAGCCAAAACACCCUGCUCACUCCCCAUCUUUUGAUUCCCUUUCCUUCUUGCUUGUCUUAACUGUCCCAGUUCCCUUUUCUGUUCUUGAUCCUGACUUUUACUCUCAUAAUUUAGUGCCUACUGGGGGGAGAUAUGUAUGGUGAAUUACAAACCUCAUGCUUGGGGCAAAAGCCGAUUGCCUUAGGGAGUCAGGAAGGAAUUUUUUCCACCAUCUACACAAAAUUGGCCUAAAGUGUGAUG